ACCAGGACAAAUUCCAAGCCCAAUCAACCAAAUUAAACCCAAACUCAACAAGCCGAACUAAGCCCACCAUUAUCAAUGCCAAAUCACACUCAAACUCUCCACAUUAAAACAAGCCCAAAUUCCUCAAACCUAAAGCGACUAAGGAACGCUCAUGGACUUACUAACAACGGUAGCCCAGUCCGACGAGCCCAAAUCAGGCCACAAAAUCAGAACGACGAGGGAAAAAAAAGGGGCCGUCGAUUGUGCUCCCUAACCGGCUCAGGGGCAGUGAAUUAGGGUGAGCUCGAUAGAUUAGACAAUGUCCGGUUGCCUCGCACACCCCCAAGCCAGAAUCCUCGAGAACUCAACGCAACGCACCUAAAAGAAGAACAAACAAGAUUCGAACCAAGACCUACCGUGACUUCAACACAAGAAGAAGGCUAACAUCGGUAGGUUGUCGGUUGAGUUUCGAGUGUGUCUGUCGCCGGAGGACAAUCGCUUGGUUUCUCACUGCAGAUCUUUUUUCCUCUCUUUUCUCUCUCUCUCUCUCUGUUUCUUUUUUUUUUUUCCUUUUGUCCUGAACCUUUCUGAACUCCCCAGUCAGCAUCCAAAGGCAUCCUUUUAUAGGCUCUCGACCUACGGAAGAGUCCAAUCGGUGGAGACCCUUCACCCUCCAGUCUCUAGCACGCUAGCUAGUCUUUAGGACAGUCCCUUCUCCUCCUCCGUGCUCUGGUGUUGACUUGUGCUCUACUGUGUAAUUUAAUGAAUUUUUUUUUUUAGAGGAAAAAAUUAAUCCAUAAUUUUCAAUAUAACUUAACUUUAAGUCGACAACCAAAACUUUGGUGUCGACCGCCAAAAUUAGAGUAAUGAAAAAGACUAUUGUCAUUGGAAGAACAAUAUGAAAAGAGGGAUUGGAUAAACCAACAAUAUGAAAAAGGUUAUUAAGCAAGAAGAGAUGGACAAAAGCUUAACAGCUCAAUUCUAGAUGGAUAUCCCUACAAUCAAGGAAGACUUGGGGUCGUCUCUCUCUCUCACUCUCACAUAUAAACAUACAAGAGCAAAGAGUCAUUGUCCAUUCUCUCUUUUUUGUGAAGACCACUUACUUAACGAUCACAUCUCUCUCUCUCCCUACAAUCAAGGAAGACUUGGGGUCGUCUCUCUUUCUCACUCUCACACAUCACUCUCACAUAUACAUACAAGAGCAAAGAGUCAUUGUCCGUUCUCUCUGUUUCGUGAAGACCACUCACUUAACGAUCACAUCUCUCUCUCUCCCUACAAUUAAGGAAGACUUGGGGUCGUCUCUCUCUCACUCUCACACAUCACUCUCACAUCUAGACAUACAAAAGCAAAGAGUCAUUGUUCGUUCUCUCUUUUUCGUGAAGACCACUCACUUAACGAUCACAUCUCUCUCUCUCCCUACAAUCAAGGAAGACUUGGGGUCGUCUCUCUCUCACUCUCACACAUCACUCUCACAUCCAGACAUACAAAAGCAAAGAGUCAUUAUCCGUUCUCUCUUUUUUGUGAAGACCACUCACUUAAUGAUCACAUCUCUCUCUCUCCCUACAAGCAAGGAAGACUUGGGGUCGUCUCUCUCUCACUCUCGCACAUCACUCUCACAUCCAAACAUACAAGAGCAAAGAGUCUUUGUUCGUUCUCUCUUUUUCGUAAAGACCACUCUAACAAUCACAUUUCUCUCUCUCUCUCUCUCUCUCUCUCUCUCUCUCGCGCGUGACCUAACCUCGGGUGAAUCACCUAGGGUUUGGCUAAUGGAUUUCUAAGCCUAAACUUAGCUCGGGCUCUCCCAAGCCCAUUCCAACUUGCGACUUAGGUUCAAAUUCUCAACAUGCAAAUGAUUUUUCAAUUUUGAAUCGUCACUAAUCUAUUUUUGAUUGGUCGAUUAGAAACCAAGUAAAAUAGCAAGAUAAUUACUUUACUCUUAUGAACCAGAGAUUGUGAAUUCAAGGACUUGAUUACGCUAGAUUUUUCUAAUACCAUUUUGAUACCUUUCUCUUUUAUUUCGAAAGAAAUAUUUUACAGGCAGCUUGAAUUGAUUUUAAUUUACUUCCCUAAUAUGUGAGGUAAUCAUAAGGGUACGCAAACACCAAUUUAACACCCAAAUAAAACAAUAAAUAAAUUACGAGACUUACCUCAUAACAACGAAUUAACACGUAAUUACUUAAUUUUUGUUUUACUUAUUUAAUGAGAUCAUGUUUUAUGCAGUACAUGCUACUAAUGAAGUGAUAUGACAUAGCAAUAUGACUUAAAUUAUAUGACAUAAGUAUAAUAUUUUUUUUUUGUUUUCUUAAUAAACAUGCAAUCUAUCCUAGAGAAUGAAAUUGAUUUAUUCUACGACAAUUUUUUGAGUAUUUUACAUGAAAUUCGAAAUUAGAAAAUUGCAAAAAUUAUCUAUCCAGAUUAAGAUAUCAUCCAACUUAUAUUAGGAAUUAGAUUAGGCCAAAUCCUAAUUUAAACUAGAAUGUUAUCUUAACUUAGUAAUCCCUAACCUAAAAUGCAAUAUAUCUAGGAAAAAUUAUCUAAACUUAUAAUAAAUUACAAAUGUUAUCUAGAAUGAAAUUAAAUGUGCAAUCUCAUCAUAAUAUGCAAUGACUAGAUGACGUGCAAAGAAUGCCAUAACUCUAGUUUUUUUCUUUUUCUUUUUUAUGAAAUUCGAAAUUAAAAUUGUCAAAUAAUUAAACGUGCAAUUUAAAUUAAUGAAAUGAAAAUCAAACACCCUAAAUUAAUUUUUUUUUUAGGCAUUUUAUCUAAGAAAUUCGAAAUAAAUAAAUUUCCUAUUCUAAACAUGCAAAAUAAUCCUAAAACAAGUGAUAUUCCAACAUGAACCUAAUCUAAAUAUAUUUUUUGGGAUUUUUCUUUUACGGGAGCAACCAAAUAAAGGCAUCAAGAACAGCACGGCAACAAAUCAGGCGAGAUAUCAUACAUAUUCAUUUAAUUUUGAAAAUAAAUUGACGAAUCAUGCCUCACGCAUAAGAUCGGAUUAGUCAAUUUUAAACAAAAUCACGAAUCGUAUCUCUGAGAUCGGAUUGACGAUUUUUUCGUGCGAUUGCAAGUCGUAUUUCGAGCAUAAAAUCAUACUAUAAAUCAUAUGCACGUUGCGAAAUUAGGAAAAUUUCGGCUACUCAAGUUACCAAUAUCACGUCGGAGAUUUCACUAAUGCAUGAGGGAAUUUUUCAAAUAAAUAAAGAAACAAAAUAUUUGAAAACCCAAAAAUACAAUAUUUUUACCUAAUUGAGUUUUGGUUUCCAAGUCCAGCUUAGCGAACGGCAGCUCAUGGAUCACGAUGGAGGCUCGGCGUGGCUCGAGGAAGGGUCGCUGUGGUGGCGGGGGCAGAGACAACGUCGCAGCUUCGGAAGCGGUGGCACAGCGAG
This 3365-nucleotide long non-coding RNA is filed under the name Eucalyptus grandis. RNAcentral's name for it is "long non-coding RNA (EGRA_LNC006466)". The record is from RNAcentral. Lineage: Eukaryota; Viridiplantae; Streptophyta; Magnoliopsida; Myrtales; Myrtaceae.